Molecule: ribosomal RNA, 887 nt
Filed under: Bacillus sp. Y12
Lineage: Bacteria; Bacillati; Bacillota; Bacilli; Caryophanales; Bacillaceae
Description: bacterial SSU rRNA
Rfam family: Bacterial small subunit ribosomal RNA
Source: RNAcentral
CAUGGGGAGAUGCCUAUACGUGCAGUCGAGCGAAUGACGAGGAGCUUGCUCCUCUGAUUUAGCGGCGGACGGGUGAGUAACACGUGGGUAACCUGCCUGUAAGACGGGGAUAACUUCGGGAAACCGAAGCUAAUACCGGAUAAUAAAGAGAGACUCCUGUUUCUUUUUUGAAAGUCGGUUUCGGCUGACGCUUACAGAUGGGCCCGCGGCGCAUUAGCUAGUUGGUGAGGUAACGGCUCACCAAGGCCACGAUGCGUAGCCGACCUGAGAGGGUGAUCGGCCACACUGGGACUGAGACACGGCCCAGACUCCUACGGGAGGCAGCAGUAGGGAAUCUUCGGCAAUGGACGAAAGUCUGACCGAGCAACGCCGCGUGAGCGAUGAAGGCCUUCGGGUCGUAAAGCUCUGUUGUCAGAGAAGAACAAGUACCGGAGUAACUGCCGGUACCUUGACGGUACCUGACCAGAAAGCCACGGCUAACUACGUGCCAGCAGCCGCGGUAAUACGUAGGUGGCAAGCGUUAUCCGGAAUUAUUGGGCGUAAAGCGCGCGCAGGCGGUUCCUUAAGUCUGAUGUGAAAGCCCACGGCUCAACCGUGGAGGGUCAUUGGAAACUGGGGAACUUGAGUGCAGGAGAGAAAAGUGGAAUUCCACGUGUAGCGGUGAAAUGCGUAGAGAUGUGGAGGAACACCAGUGGCGAAGGCGGCUUUUUGGCCUGUAACUGACGCUGAGGCGCGAAAGCGUGGGGAGCAUACAGGAUUAGAUACCCUGGUAGUCCACGCCGUCACGAUGAGUGCUACGUGUUGGGGGGUUCCACCCUCAGUGCUGACGUGACACAUAGCACUCGCUGGGGAGUACGACGCAAGGCUGAAACUCAAAGGAAUUGACG